GGAACCCGAGCGGGAGAGACCCCGACGACGUGGCGGGGCGCCGAAGGAGCAACCACUCCCCGGAAACUCUCAGGCACCCCAACCGCCCGGGCGAG
RNAcentral lists this non-coding RNA (95 nucleotides) under Streptoalloteichus hindustanus. RNAcentral describes it as "Glycine sequence". It matches the Rfam family "Glycine riboswitch aptamer". Rfam says of the family: This family represents the bacterial glycine riboswitch. Glycine riboswitches usually consist of two metabolite-binding aptamers domains with similar structures in tandem. The aptamers cooperatively bind glycine to regulate the expression of downstream genes. The record is from Rfam by way of RNAcentral. Lineage: Bacteria; Bacillati; Actinomycetota; Actinomycetes; Pseudonocardiales; Pseudonocardiaceae.